Molecule: non-coding RNA, 72 nt
Organism: Phrynosoma platyrhinos (Desert horned lizard)
Lineage: Eukaryota; Metazoa; Chordata; Lepidosauria; Squamata; Phrynosomatidae
Source: the annotation of a GenBank genome assembly
GCUACCAUGGUGUAGUGGUUUGAGUGUUGGACUAUGACUCUCAAAGCCAGGGUUCAAAUCCCAGCUCCAUCA